This 484-nucleotide ribosomal RNA is filed under the name uncultured bacterium. RNAcentral's name for it is "partial 16S ribosomal RNA". It matches the Rfam family "Bacterial small subunit ribosomal RNA", at positions 30 to 507 of the family's 1533-position model. The record is from RNAcentral.
AUUGAACGCUGGCGGCAGGCCUAACACAUGCAAGUCGAGCGGAUGAAGGGAGCUUGCUCCUGGAUUCAGCGGCGGACGGGUGAGUAAUGCCUAGGAAUCUGCCUGGUAGUGGGGGAUAACGUCCGGAAACGGGCGCUAAUACCGCAUACGUCCUGAGGGAGAAAGUGGGGGAUCUUCGGACCUCACGCUAUCAGAUGAGCCUAGGUCGGGUUAGCUAGUUGGUGGGGUAAAGGCCUACCACGGCGACGAUCCGUAACUGGUCUGAGAGGAUGAUCAGUCACACUGGAACUGAGACACGGUCCAGACUCCGACGGGAGGCAGCAGUGGGGAAUAUUGGACAAUGGGCGAAAGCCUGAUCCAGCCAUGCCGCGUGUGUGAAGAAGGUCUUCGGAUUGUAAAGCACUUUAAGUUGGGAGGAAGGGCAGUAAGUUAAUACCUUGCUGUUUUGACGUUACCAACAGAAUAAGCACCGGCUAACUUCGUG